UACGGAAGGCAGCAGUGGGGAAUAUUGCACAAUGGGCGCAAGCCUGAUGCAGCCAUGCCGCGUGUAUGAAGAAGGCCUUCGGGUUGUAAAGUACUUUCAGUCGUGAGGAAGGUGUUAAGGUUAAUAACCUUAGCAAUUGACGUUAGCGACAGAAGAAGCACCGGCUAACUCCGUGCCAGCAGCCGCGGUAAUACGGAGGGUGCGAGCGUUAAUCGGAAUUACUGGGCGUAAAGGGCACGCAGGCGGUUAAUUAAGUUGGAUGUGAAAUCCCCGGGCUUAACCUGGGAAUGGCAUUCAAGACUGGUUAGCUAGAGUCUUGUAGAGGGGGUUAGAAUUCCAUGUGUAGCGGUGAAAUGCGUAGAGAUGUGGAGGAAUACCAGUGGCGAAGGCGGCCCCUGGGACAAAGGCUGACGCUCGAUGUGCGAAAGCGUGGGGAGCAAACAGGAUUAGAUACC
RNAcentral lists this ribosomal RNA (455 nucleotides) under uncultured bacterium. Its description in RNAcentral is "bacterial SSU rRNA". It matches the Rfam family "Bacterial small subunit ribosomal RNA", at positions 340 to 786 of the family's 1533-position model. The record is from RNAcentral.